This 31-nucleotide non-coding RNA is filed under the name Mus musculus (house mouse). Lineage: Eukaryota; Metazoa; Chordata; Mammalia; Rodentia; Muridae. The record is from RNAcentral.
CAGAGGUGUGACCUCACAUUGCCAGUUGUCC